This 425-nucleotide ribosomal RNA is filed under the name uncultured bacterium. Its description in RNAcentral is "partial 16S ribosomal RNA". It matches the Rfam family "Bacterial small subunit ribosomal RNA", at positions 354 to 796 of the family's 1533-position model. The record is from RNAcentral.
GUGGGGAAUCUUGCGCAAUGGGCGAAAGCCUGACGCAGCCAUGCCGCGUGAAUGAUGAAGGUCUUAGGAUUGUAAAAUUCUUUCACCGGGGACGAUAAUGACGGUACCCGGAGAAGAAGCCCCGGCUAAUUUCGUGCCAGCAGCCGCGGUAAUACGAAGGGGGCUAGCGUUGCUCGGAAUUACUGGGCGUAAAGGGCGCGUAGGCGGACAGUUUAGUCAGAGGUGAAAGCCCAGGGCUCAACCUUGGAAUUGCCUUUGAUACUGGCUGUCUUGAGUACGGGAGAGGUGAGUGGAACUCCGAGUGUAGAGGUGAAAUUCGUAGAUAUUCGGAAGAACACCAGUGGCGAAGGCGACUCACUGGCCCGUUACUGACGCUGAGGCGCGAAAGCGUGGGGAGCAAACAGGAUUAGAUACCCCGGUAGUCC